UACGAAGGGGGCUAGCGUUGCUCGGAAUUACUGGGCGUAAAGGGCGCGUAGGCGGGUCGUUUAGUUAGAGGUGAAAGCCCAGGGCUCAACCCUGGAAUUGCCUUUAAUACUGGCGGCCUUGAGUAUGGCAGAGGAGAGUGGAAUUCCCAGUGUAGAGGUGAAAUUCGUAGAUAUUGGGAAGAACACCGGUGGCGAAGGCGGCUCUCUGGACCGAUACUGACGCUGAGGCGCGAAAGCGUGGGGAGCAAACAGG
RNAcentral lists this ribosomal RNA (253 nucleotides) under uncultured bacterium. RNAcentral's name for it is "partial 16S ribosomal RNA". It matches the Rfam family "Bacterial small subunit ribosomal RNA", at positions 524 to 776 of the family's 1533-position model. The record is from RNAcentral.